GAUGAACGCUGGCGGCGUGCUUAACACAUGCAAGUCGAGCGAGUGAGUUCUUCGGAACGAUCUAGCGGCGGACGGGUGAGUAACACGUGGGCAACCUGCCUCAUAGAGGGGAAUAGCCUCCCGAAAGGGAGAUUAAUACCGCAUAAAAUUAUCGAGUGGCAUCACAUGAUAAUCAAAGGAGUAAUCCGCUAUGAGAUGGGCCCGCGGCGCAUUAGCUAGUUGGUGAGGUAACGGCUCACCAAGGCGACGAUGCGUAGCCGACCUGAGAGGGUGAUGGGCCACAUUGGGGAUGAGACACGGCCCAGACUCCUACGGGAGGCAGCAGUGGGGAAUAUUGCACAAUGGGGGAAACCCUGAUGCAGCAACGCCGCGUGAGUGAUGAAGGUCUUCGGAUUGUAAAGCUCUGUCUUUGGGGACGAUAAUGACGGUACCCAAGGAGGAAGCCACGGCUAACUACGUGCCAGCAGCCGCCGCAG
RNAcentral lists this ribosomal RNA (476 nucleotides) under uncultured bacterium. Its description in RNAcentral is "partial 16S ribosomal RNA". It matches the Rfam family "Bacterial small subunit ribosomal RNA", at positions 28 to 523 of the family's 1533-position model. The record is from RNAcentral.